AUUGAACGCUGGCGGCAGGCCUAACACAUGCAAGUCGAGCGGUAGCACAGAGAGCUUGCUCUCGGGUGACGAGCGGCGGACGGGUGAGUAAUGUCUGGGAAACUGCCUGAUGGAGGGGGAUAACUACUGGAAACGGUAGCUAAUACCGCAUAACGUCGCAAGACCAAAGUGGGGGACCUUCGGGCCUCAUGCCAUCAGAUGUGCCCAGAUGGGAUUAGCUGGUAUGGUGGGGUAACGGCUCACCUAGGCGACGAUCCCUAGCUGGUCUGAGAGGAUGACCAGCCACACUGGAACUGAGACAGGGUCCAAACUCCUACGGGAGGCAGCAGUGGGGAAUAUUGCACAAUGGGCGCAAGCCUGAUGCAGCCAUGCCGCGUGUGGGAAGAAGGCCUUCGGGUUGUAAAGCACUUUCAGCGGGGAGGAAGGCGGUGAGGUUAAUAACCUCACUGAUUGACGUUACCCGCAGAAGAAGCACCGGCUAACUCCGUGCCAGCCGCCGCCGUAA
This 505-nucleotide ribosomal RNA is filed under the name uncultured bacterium. RNAcentral describes it as "partial 16S ribosomal RNA". It matches the Rfam family "Bacterial small subunit ribosomal RNA", at positions 29 to 523 of the family's 1533-position model. The record is from RNAcentral.